UACGGGGGGGGCAAGCGUUGUUCGGAAUUACUGGGCGUAAAGGGCUCGUAGGUGGCCAAUUAAGUCAGACGUGAAAUCCCUCGGCUUAACCGGGGAACUGCGUCUGAUACUGGAUGGCUUGAGUUCGGGAGAGGGAUGCGGAAUUCCAGGUGUAGCGGUGAAAUGCGUAGAUAUCUGGAGGAACACCGGUGGCGAAGGCGGCAGCCUGGACCGACACUGACGCUGAGGAGCGAAAGCCAGGGGAGCAAACGGG
RNAcentral lists this ribosomal RNA (253 nucleotides) under uncultured bacterium. RNAcentral describes it as "partial 16S ribosomal RNA". It matches the Rfam family "Bacterial small subunit ribosomal RNA", at positions 524 to 776 of the family's 1533-position model. The record is from RNAcentral.